CCUACGGGCGGCAGCAGUGAGGAAUAUUGGUCAAUGGCCGAGAGGCUGAACCAGCCAAGUCGCGUGAGGGAAGAAUGUCCUAUGGAUGGUAAACCUCUUUUGUCAGGGAGCAAAGUCACCUACGUGUGGGUGUUGGAGAGUACCUGUAGAAAAAGCAUGGGCUAGCUCCGUGCAAGCAGCCGCGGUAAUCCGGAGGAUGCGGGGGUUAUCCGGAUGUAGUGGGGUUAACGGGUGCGUAGGCGGGUUAGAAAGUCAGCGGGAAAUUCCGGGAGUCAAACUCCAUACAGCGUGUGAAAGUGAUGAUCUUGAGUGGGCGAGGAGCAUGCGGAAUGCGUGGGGUAGCGGUGAAAUGCAUAGAUAUCACGAAGAACACCGGUUGCGAAGGCAGCAUACCGGCGCCCGACUGACGCUGAAGCACGAAAGCGUGGGUAUCGAACAGGAUUAGAUACCCCAGUAGUC
RNAcentral lists this ribosomal RNA (459 nucleotides) under uncultured bacterium. RNAcentral describes it as "partial 16S ribosomal RNA". It matches the Rfam family "Bacterial small subunit ribosomal RNA", at positions 338 to 795 of the family's 1533-position model. The record is from RNAcentral.